This 890-nucleotide ribosomal RNA is filed under the name uncultured bacterium. RNAcentral's name for it is "bacterial SSU rRNA". It matches the Rfam family "Bacterial small subunit ribosomal RNA", at positions 51 to 965 of the family's 1533-position model. The record is from RNAcentral.
AUACAUGCAGUCGAACGAUGAGAUACUUUCGGGUAUCAUCAGUGGCGGACGGCUGAGUAACGCGUAGAUAACGUGCCUCUUACUGGGGGAUAACAUCGGGAAACCGGUGCUAAUACCGCAUAAGUCACGAGUUGAAAUACUUGUGAUUAAAGAAUUUCGGUAAGAGAUCGGUCUGCGUCUGAUUAGCUAGUUGGUAGGGUAAAGGCCUACCAAGGCAAUGAUCAGUAGUUGGUCUGAGAGGAUGACCAGCCAGAGUGGGACUGAGACACGGCCCACACUUCUACGGAAGGCAGCAGUAGGGAAUUUUGCGCAAUGGGCGAAAGCCUGACACAGCAACACCGCGUGUAGGAUGAAGGAUUUCGGUUCGUAAACUACUGUCAGCAGGGAAUAUAAUGACUGUACCUGCAGAGGAAGCAUCGGCUAACUACGUGCCAGCAGCCGCGGUAAGACGUAGGAUGCAAGCGUUGUCCGGAAUUAUUGGGCGUAAAGAGUUCGUAGGCGGUUGCCUAAGUCUGAUGUUAAAUACUGGAGCUCAACUCCGGCAUGGCAUUGGAAACUGGGCGGCUAGAGUGUGGUAGAGGUCUCGGGAAUUCCAGGUGUAGCGGUGAAAUGCGUAGAUAUCUGGAGGAACACCGGUGGCGAAAGCGCGAGACUGGGCCAUAACUGACGCUGAGGAACGAAAGCCAGGGGAGCGAAAGGGGUUAGAUACCCCUGUAGUCCUGGCCGUAAACGAUGGAUACUAGGUGUAGGAGGAUUCGACCCCUUCUGUGCCGUAGCUAACGCGAUAAGUAUCCCGCCUGGGGAGUACGACCGCAAGGUUGAAACUCAAAGGAAUUGACGGGGGCCCCGCACAGCGGUGGAACAUGUGGUUUAAUUCGAUGCAACGCGAA